CUGGUGUUCUUCCGAAUAUCUACGAAUUUCACCUCUACACUCGGAAUUCCACUCACCUCUCCUGGAUUCAAGCGAUGCAGUCUAAAAGGCAGUUCUGGUGUUGAGCACCAGGCUUUCACCUCUUACUUACAAAGCCGCCUACGUGCGCUUUACGCCCAGUAAUUCCGAAUAACGCUAGCUCCCUCCGUAUUACCGCGGCUGCUGGCACGGAGUUAGCCGGAGCUUAUUCUCCCGGUACUGUCAUUAUCAUCCCGGGUAAAAGAGCUUUACAACCCUAAGGCCUUCAUCACUCACGCGGCAUUGCUGGAUCAGGCUUUCGCCCAUUGUCCAAUAUUCCCCACUGCUGCCUCCCGUAGGAGUCUGGGCCGUGUCUCAGUCCCAGUGUGGCUGAUCAUCCUCUCAGACCAGCUAAGGAUCGUCGCCUUGGUGCGCCUUUACCACACCAACUAGCUAAUCCUACGCGGGCUCAUCCCUAGGCGAUAAAUCUUUGGACUUACGUCAUCAUCCGGUAUUAGCAGUCG
Molecule: ribosomal RNA, 521 nt
Filed under: Sphingomonas glacialis
Lineage: Bacteria; Pseudomonadati; Pseudomonadota; Alphaproteobacteria; Sphingomonadales; Sphingomonadaceae
Description: partial 16S ribosomal RNA
Source: RNAcentral